CAGUCGCCGCGGUAAUACGAAGGGUGCAAGCGUUAAUCGGAAUUACUGGGCGUAAAGCGUGCGUAGGCGGUUUGUUAAGUCUGCUGUGAAAUCCCCGGGCUCAACCUGGGAAUGGCAGUGGAUACUGGCAAGCUAGAGUGUGUCAGAGGAUGGUGGAAUUCCCGGUGUAGCGGUGAAAUGCGUAGAGAUCGGGAGGAACAUCAGUGGCGAAGGCGGCCAUCUGGGACAACACUGACGCUGAGGCACGAAAGCGUGGGGAGCAAACAGGAUUAGAGACCCGCGUAGUCCCUGUCUCUUAUAU
This 301-nucleotide ribosomal RNA is filed under the name uncultured bacterium. RNAcentral describes it as "partial 16S ribosomal RNA". It matches the Rfam family "Bacterial small subunit ribosomal RNA", at positions 509 to 809 of the family's 1533-position model. The record is from RNAcentral.